Molecule: ribosomal RNA, 202 nt
Filed under: uncultured bacterium
Lineage: Bacteria
Description: partial 16S ribosomal RNA
Rfam family: Bacterial small subunit ribosomal RNA
Source: RNAcentral
ACGCUCGACACCUACGGAGGCAGCAGUGGGGAAUAUUGCACAAUGGGGGAAACCCUGAUGCAGCAACGCCGCGUGAAGGAAGACGGUUUUCGGAUUGUAAACUUCUGUUCUUAGUGAAGAUAGUGACGGUAGCUAAGGAGCAAGCCACGGCUAACUACGUGUCAGCAGCCGCGUAAUCUGAGGCCGGGGCUGGGACGAAGGC